RNAcentral lists this long non-coding RNA (9022 nucleotides) under Lactuca sativa (garden lettuce). RNAcentral's name for it is "long non-coding RNA (LSAT_LNC005360)". The record is from RNAcentral. Lineage: Eukaryota; Viridiplantae; Streptophyta; Magnoliopsida; Asterales; Asteraceae.
AAAAAGUAAAUUUACAAAAUAAAGAGGGUAUGUAAACAGAAAAAUUUCAAUGUUAAUUCAAUACAUCCGUUAUGAUUAAAUAUUGACAUUGCGACUACCGACGAAUUACAAUACACAACAACACCAAAAAUCGUUAUCAAACGAAUUGAUUCGGUCUCGAAUCAAUAACAAAUCCGAAACUACUAACACGACGACAACUCGAUUCAUACACGGAAAAUUUGGGAAUUCAAUACACACGUGAGAGUGCACAGACGUCGAUACACCAUCUUUGGGCCCAAAAGUGUAAAAUCUUGUUUGUUGGGCCUAGCUAGCCCAAUGACCUGAUCUUUAGGCCCGAAGACAUCAACCUUACGAGUUGUUGGGUCUUACAUGAUCCAACACAGCGUAAAAGGACUUUCAAUGGCAACGUGCUGCUGGUCCCCAAGGGUCCUUCGGUACUGCUAGCAAAGUCGAGAAUUCACCAAUGCGAGUUGGGCUAAGGGCCCUUCGCAUUCACUAUAGCCUUGAACGACGUAGGGAAUUACCUGGGGCUUCGCACUCACUUUUUCCCCUCGGUCGUGGGGCUACAUGAGUCCGGGUGGUUGGGUUAAGUGAAUAGUGCGAGCGACGCCUAAGGGAAUCGUUUGUACGGUUGUCAACUGGUCAUUUUCAUUAAUGUACGUUUACAACAAUUCACAAUCCACAAUUAAUCCAACGUCCCCGGAGCUCAACGAAUACACCUGUCGUAACGAAAUAACGAAACAUAAAAUUAUUUAAUGCAAAGUAAUGGGAAAACGUCGGGUUUUCCUAGGAUUUUCAAUUAUUACACCUACGAAUUACAUACCGAGUUUUACAAAUCGUACUCUUACAUUUAUAGAAACAAACAAGCAUACUUUCGGAUCUUCACACCUUUUAUACUAUACAAUUUUCAGAAAAUAUCGGAUUUUCUGGUGGUUUUCAAAACGAUACAAAACAUUGGAUUUCAAACAUUACUUAUGAACUCACCAACAUUUCAUAUGUUGACGUUUUUCAAAAUACUUGUAUUCUCAGGUAACAGAUAAAGUGAAGGAAGAAUUGUACUCUAUGACGUUUUGCUGUUGUUUAAUUAAUAUCGAACAAUUUACUUUUGGGAAUGUAAUAUUUUGAAACUAUGUACUGAAUGUAAACGCUACCAGUUGUAAUAUUCCAAUGCUUGGUAUUGUAUGAUGUUAUGUUUCAUGUAUAUUCAUUGUGAUGGUAUUCAAUUGAGUCACGACAGCCCCCGGACGUUUCCGCCGUCUGGUUCGGGGGUGUGACAGGUUGGUAUCAGAGCUCUGUUUAUAGUGAACUAGCAUAUCGAACCAUACAUUGAUAUGCAACUAUAAACCAAAAGAGGGACUAACAUAACUCUGAACAAAACAAGUAAAAUACAACAAUAAAACACCUUUGCCUGCAUUAGGAACAAGGAACAUAACACCGAACCAAACAAGAUAAUGCUAGUAUCUCGGUUAAAUCAGGACUGUUCUUAGGGGUACCAAGGAGUGGAUGUAGCCUGAUCAACUACGUUCUCUCCAAGGUAUGACUAACACACGUUCUGAUGAGAUCGUGAUAGCUAGGGAACCUAAAACUAUACCCCUUAUCACCAAAAAGAGAGCGUCUAGUUAGCAUAAGUCAUAGUCAGAAGAGUGACGAUUGUUUAUAUUUUUCCCCAGUCGUCAUGGAGGAAGAGCAGCAGGGUAUCCAGUUCCAUCAAGUCCUAGUGGCUCACGGGAUGCUUGAGGAUGAACCAGAAGGGAAUCCGGAGGGAGCACACGACGUCGAACAUGACGAAUACAUAGACACUGACUACGAGUUUGGAGAUACCGACGAUGAUGUCGAGGAAGGGCAAGACCGGGACAAGGAUCACGUCACGUCAUGUGUGGAUGAGGCGCAACCAGACCACCCCGCUGCACCAAUGAACCCCCCAAGGGAGAACCGAUCUCCCGAAGCUGAGAUCGCCGCACUGCGACAACAGUUGUACGCCAUGGAGGCCCGGGCAGUGCGAGCCGAGCAUGAUAGGGAUGAAGUCAUCGGAGACAUGGCAGAGAUGGCUCAGUUGCUGGCACAACACUUCGGCAUAUGACCUCGGCACCACCUCCGGGCGCAUCUCAUCGCGACUAGGGUUAGGCUUAUCUUAGUAGAUCAUUAGGAACUACGCUGUGUACAUCGACUCUAUGUUUAAGUGACUACACUACUCAUAGAGCCAUUAUGCUGUCAAACUAGUGUCACCCAUGUAUGCUCUUACGAGCAAAUUUUCAUGUACCAAAUGCGGAUAAUAUUAGUAAACCUUUAUGUGCUUUGCUAUGAUAUUACGAAUUGCUAUGUGUUGAGAAUCUAUGAAUGUAUGCUAAAUGGUAAGAGUGUUUAAGUUCGUAUCAUGCACUUAGUUAGUAGGGUCGUAACCUUCCAGAAACCCCCAAGCACUCAAUGUCUUUCCGUUGCAUGACAGAAAGAUGCCUCGCCGAGCUACUCGCAGAAACCCCGAACCAAUCCCACCCGAAGUUGACUCCACUGCAUUCCAGGCGGCCGUGUCUGCUGCGGUCACCGCAGCUAUGGCACAACUUCACCGAGGGAACAACGGAGGAGGCAACGGGCAAGGGUCCGGGAGUUCGAACAACGGGAUGAAUCAAGGACCCACUAAAACAUGUACCUACAAGGACUUCACAAACGCCAAGCCACGAACUUUUAACGACACUAGAGGAGUGAUCACUCUGAAGCGAUGGAUCGAGAAGGUGGAAUCGGUAUUUGAGAUAUGCGAUUGUCCUGAGGAGAUGAAAGUGAAGUUCGCAGCUUGCACUUUUGUUGAUCAAGCGCUCACUUGGUGGAACGGACACGUGGAAGGCAUGACACUCCCGGUAGCCAACUCCAUUCCGUGGUCGGAGAUGAAGGAAAUGUUGAUGGCUGAAUACUGUCCGCACGACGAGAUACAGAAAAUGGAGCAGGAACUGUGGAACCUCACUGUGCAGAAUGCGAAUAUCGAUGCCUACAUAUCGAGAUUUAGCGAACGAUCCCUGUUGUGCCCAGGUACGAUCACCUCGGAAGGAAAGAAGAUUGAGCGAUUCAUUUGGGGACUAACAUCACCAAUCCAAGGAAACGUGAUAGCUGCAAACCCGGAAACAUUCGACAGUGCGAAGAGAUUGGCGAAGAAGUUGUACGACCAUAACAACAAAAAGGGUGAGAAUCCAACGGAGAUUGAGGGCAAGAAGGAAGGUGAUGGCAAGAAAGGGAAGAACAACAAGAAGAAGGGACGUCAGGGCUUCGAGACCUCUAAAAAGCAGUAGACAGUGGCGGUUAAUGCUGCCACUGCACCGGUUCCAGCCACACCACAUGCUCCAGCCUCAGCUGCUUCAAAUGUUUCCAGACCUUAUUCCGGUAAUUUUCCCAAAUGCAACAAGUGCGGUUUCCAUCACAAUGGAGAAUGCAGGGAGUUACAGUGCACCAGUUGUAAUCGAAAAGGACACACGUCGAAGUACUGCAGGACUUACCCUCCCCAGAACCAACAACAAGGNACAAUGCAGGGCCUAGCCACACCUGCUAUGGGUGUGGGAGGACUGGGCAUUUCCGCCGAGACUGCCCUAACAACAACAAUCCAGGAAACGGAGGAACAGGAAGGAUGCUGACCAUGGGUCAGGGAGAGGCGAUUCAGGACCCCGCUGUUGUUACCGGUACGUUUCCCCUAAACCACACUUAUGCAUGCAUCCUAUUUGACUCCGGAGCGGAGCGAAGUUUCGUAAGCAAUAAGUUUAAACAUUUAUUAAAACAACAGCCCUAGAAGCUAAAUGAAACCUUUACGGUGGAAAUGGCCAAUGGGAAAACCGAAUCUACCAGGGAAAUGUACAUCGGAUGUACCCUAACCCUAAAUCAACACGUCUUUCGGAUAGACUUGAUGUCCGUAUCAAUUAGGAGUUUCGAUGUGAUUAUUGGCAUGGACUGGUUAAGCCCCCACCAUGCUGAAAUUAUGUGUCACGAGAAGGUCGUUCGCCUUCGCCUCCCCAAUCAUGAAACCCUAGUAAUUUACGGAGACAAACCUAGCAUGAACCUCCGCCUCGUCUCGUGCAUCAAGGCACAAAAACAUCUAUGAAAUAACAAUUUGGCGUUCCUGGCUCACAUAGUGAAUAAAACCAAGGAAGACGUUAACGUUCAAGACAUUCCCAUAGCAUGUGGAUUUCCAGAUGUGUUUCCUGAGGAUCUUCCAGGAGUACCCCCGGAGAGACAAGUGGAGUUUCAAAUUGACCUCGUUCCAGGAGCAACUCCUCUCGGUAAAUCACCCUAUCGGCUAGCUCCUGCAGAAAUGCAGGAAUUGUCCAGCCAACUCAGUGAACUCUUGGACAAGGGAUUCAUCCGCCCUAGUUACUCGCCAUGGGGAGCUCCAGUCCUCUUUGUCAAAAAGAAGGACGGAUCUUUUAGAAUGUGCAUCGAUUACAGAGAGUUAAAUAAACUCACUGUUAAAAAUCGCUACCCACUCCCACGAAUCGAUGAUCUAUUUGACCAGCUCCAAGGAGCUAGUUAUUUUUCUAAGAUAGAUCUACGAUCCGGAUAUCACCAACUCAAAGUCCGGGAAGAGGAUAUUCCAUAAACCGCUUUCCGAACUCGCUAUGGACACUACGAAUUUGUCGUAAUGCCCUUCGGUCUGACAAAUGCCCCUGCCACAUUUAUGGACCUAAUGAAUCGAAUCUGUCGACCAUUCUUCGACAACUUUGUCAUUGUUUUUUUAUCGAUGAAAUCCUCGUCUAUUCUCGAAGCAAAGAAGAGCAUGGCCAACAUCUCCGACAAGUCCUAGAAACUCUAGAUCGGAAAUGCUAUACGCAAAACUCUCCAAGUGUGAGUUCUGGCUCUGGAGUGUGAACUUCCUAGGUCAUGUAGUCAGCCAAGAUGGAAUCCAUGUGGAUCCCUCUAAAGUCAAAGUUGUUGAAGGAUGGGCAAUCCCGACAACACCUACGGAAAUCCGUCAGUUCUUGGGUCUAGCAGGCUACUAUAGGAGAUUCAUUCAAAACUUCUCUAAGAUCGCCAAGCCACUUACCUCGCUUACACAAAAGGGCGUACCAUUCAAAUGGACGGACAAACAAGAAGUCGCAUUCCGAACCCUGAAACAAGCUCUCUGUAGUGCCCCGGUACUAUCACUACCGGAGGGAACGGAAGAUUUCGUGGUCUACUGUGACGCGUCAAAUCAGGGCUUAGGUUGCGUUCUCAUGCAGCGUGGAAGGGUGAUAGCUUACGCAUCUCGCCAACUAAAGACGCACGAAGUAAAUUAUACGACCCAUGACCUGGAAUUGGGAGCCGUGGUCUUCGCUCUGAAAAUUUGGAGGCACUACCUGUACGGUACGAAGUGCACCAUCUUCACGGACCACAAAAGUCUCCAGCACAUCUUGAACCAGAAAGAGUUGAACAUGAGGCAACGAAGAUGGGUUGAAUUAUUAAACGAUUACGAGUGUGAGAUCAAGUACCACCCAGGCAAGGCCAACGUGGUAGCCGACGCAUUAAGUCGGAAGGAGUACUCAAAUCGUCGUACGAAAACUCUCUCUAUAACCAUUCAAUCUCACCUAGUCACUCAAAUUGCGGUAGCCCAGUCGGAGGCCAUGAAAGCGGAAAACAGGGCAAGCGAAGCAUUGCGCGGGAUGGAGAAGAACCUAGAGGCAAAGGAGAAUGGAGUAUACUACUUCAUGAACCGUAUUUGGGUCCCUAAAAUCGGAGGAUUUAGGGAGGUAGUUAUGAAGGAAGCCCACAGGACGCGAUACUCCAUUCAUCCUGGUUCAGACAAGAUGUAUUUGGAUAUUAAACAACACUAUUGGUGGCCUAACAUGAAGGCGGAAAUUGCUACCUACGUUAGUAAGUGCCUUACGUGUGCCAAGGUAAAGGUGGAAUACCAGAAGCCCUCAGGGUUAUUACAGCAACCGGUAAUUCCUGAGUGGAAAUGGGAGGGGAUUUCUAUGGAUUUCGUGACCAAGCUACCCAAAACGUCGGAUGGACUAGACACCAUAUGGGUAAUAAUCGAUCGACUGACGAAAUCUGCCCAUUUCCUGCCAAUCAAAGAAUCUUACAAGAUGGAGAGAUUGACGCGUUUAUACGUUCGAGAAAUCGUGAGACUCCACAGAGUGCCAAUAUCUAUCAUCUCAGAUAGGGACAGUAGGUUCACUUCACGUUUUUGGCAAUCACUCCAUAAGGCAAUGGGAACUCAUCUCGACAUGAGCACCGCUUAUCAUCCGCAAACGGAUACGCUCGAAGACAUGCUCCGUGCGUGCGUGAUAGACUUUGGGAAGUCUUGGGAUACCCACCUACCUUUAAUCGAAUUCUCGUAUAACAAUAGUUAUCAUUCGAGCAUCAAGGUGGCUCCUUUCGAAGCACUGUACGGGCGUAAAUGUAGAUCACCGUUAUGUUGGGCUGAGGUUGGCGAUACCCAACUAGCAAAAACACAUACGUCGGACAAAGCGCUAACGGGACCGGAGAUCAUUCGCGAAACCACGGAAAAGAUCGUCCAAAUCAGGGCUCGAUUACAAGCAUCGCGUGACCGACAAAAGAGCUACGCCGAUAAACGGCGAAAGCCCUUAGAGUUUCAGGUCGGUGAUCGAGUACUGUUGAAAGUCUCACCCUGGAAAGGGGUUAUACGUUUCGGAAAACGGGGAAAACUGAACCCACGAUACAUUGGACCUUUCGAGAUCGUCGCCCGAAUAGGUCCAGUGGCGUAUAAGCUGCAGCUACCCACAGAGCUAAACAGUGUUCACCCCGUGUUCCAUGUCUCUAAUCUAAAGAAGUGUCUAUCAGAUGAAACACUCGUCAUUCCCCUUGACGAGAUCGAAAUCAACGAGAAUCUCCUGUUCGUUGAAGAACCAAUCGAAAUCAUGGACAGGGAGGUGAAGCGUACUAAGCAAAGUCGCAUCCCGAUCGUGAAAGUACGGUGGAACGCAAAGCGUGGGCCAGAAUUCACGUGGGAACGCGAAGACCAAAUGAAGCAAAAGUACCCUCACCUAUUCUAGCAUUCUCAAAUCUAGCUUUCAAACAGAAUUUCGGGACGAAAUUCCCUCUAACGGGGGGAUGAUGUCACAACUAGAAAUUUUGUGUCUUGUAAUCACUAUACUCAAGUAAAAUGUUGAAUCAAAAACUUAAGAGCAUGUAUGAUGCUUACUUUAUGACAUCAAAAAUUGCAAUCUAAUACACCAUACAAGCACUACAAAUAGUCAACAAGCAAUUGGAAACCCUAGAAGUUCUUGUUUAGGUCCAUUUUGGACUAGGACUUCCUUAUUGGACUCAAUGGACCAAUAAGCUUCCAAUUUGACUAUCAUGGGUUUAGAACCUUUUAAUGGGCUCUAAUUGAACCUACUUUCAUUUAUUCCAACAAUUUGGGCCACAUUAGGCCUAGAAUGGAAUAAAUCAACUUCAUGAAACAUUAUGGGCCAUAAUUAACUUAAACUAGCCCAACAAAGUAAAAAAAAAAUCACACUUAUAUCUUAUAAUCAUCCAAACUAACUCUAAUAUUGGGCUUAGGGGCAUUAAAGCCCAAAACUUUCCUUUCCUUUUAAAAUUUCGGCCCAAAAGCCCAAGACCAAAGAUGAAGAGUUGACUUCAUCAUGCCACCUCAUUAUUACCUCUUGGUUCUCCAUGCAACAUGUCUCAUACUUCCAUGCAUACAUCACCUCAAGGUCUCUUCUUCUUCCUCUCUCUCAUUCUCAGCCGAACACACACACAUACACUCACAAAAUUCAUUUCAUCCUCCCUAAGUUGUGAAGAACAUCUCCUCCUUCCCUCUCCUAAAAUUUUCGAGGUUUAAGUGCAUUCCAAGGAGAUUUUUCACAAAAAUCACCAUCCAAGGUAAGGUUAUACUAAAUUCUAUGAUCUAGGUUCCUUGAUCUAUCUAAAAUCUCUUCUUAACUCUCAUGAAAUCAUAAACUUGUGUCUUAGAACCCCUCAAACUCGAGAUCUUCAAGAAAAGGGUGCUAAGGCCAAAAAUCACUUCAUUUCUUCCAUCUUUUCUCCAAAAACCGAAACCACACCCUAAGGUGAGCUUCAUACUCCCUAUUUUUCUGUUUUAUAAGUUUUGUGGGGGGGGGGAAUACAAGUGAAAGUGUAGAUCUAUAUGUAUUUGUAUGCCUUGUAUGAUUUCUAUGCUUAUAUGUGUGUUUUUGUGUGAUUAUGAUGUUGGAUCUAGUCAUAAGCCCCUAAAAAUCGAGAUAUACUUUAUGUUAAAUGAUACUAGCAUCAAUUAUAUUUCUACAUACAAAGUAUUCCAAGAAAAAUAGCUAAGUGGCUUAAUAACAUCUUCUUUGGGCUAAAAACUCAUUUUUGGACACAAAAUGUUAAAAAUAUAAAGUUAAAGGGCCCAAAAUGACAUAUUACGAAUUCUGAUGGGUGAGAUGAGUCAAAACAGUUUCAAUAAAGUAUUUUCUGGAAAUAUACUCUUUUGGAGGAUUAAUAAUAUAAAUGUCAAGCUUAAUGGGCUAAAAAUGACAUUUUCGGCCCAAUAGGGCCCAAUAUGUGAAAUUUUCCAAUUUGAGGGGUUGAAACUGUGUUUUUCUGUAAAACAGUGGGCUACUAGUGUUCCAAGUCCUUUUCAAAGGUUAAAAAUGCUUUUCAUAAUUAAAAAGGACCAAAGUUGCAAAAAUUUUCCAAUUUGGGCCAAAAGUGUAAAAAUUGCAAAAAAGAGAGGUUACAGCCGAGAAAACUGUAUUUUUUGAGGGACUAAAGCUGUUUUCAACUAAAAAUGUGCUGAAAAAUAUUAAUUUCAAUAAGUUUUGGUGUUAGAAUGCCAAGAAAAAUGGUUUAAGGACUAAACCGUAAAUUAAUUUAUGCAAAGGCUUGAAAAAGUAAAUUUACAAAAUAAAGAGGGGCUGUAAACAGAAAAAUUUCAAUGUUAAUUCAAUACAUCCGUUAUGAUCAAAUAUUGACACUGCGAUUACCGACGAAUUACAAUACACAACGACACCAACAAUCGUUAUCAAACGAAUUGAUUCGGUCUCGAAUCAAUAACAAAUCCGAAACUACUAACACUACGACACUCAAUACACACAUGGAACUCUCGGAAACUCUAUACACU